GUAGACAGGCUGGCGAGGUAGCUCUUCGCUGCUUGCAAGUGAGCUUUAUGCAGGCUUAAGAGGGGGAGUGAUAAGGAUACUAAAAAGUCUUAAUACUAACGUUGAGGUUUUGUCCUUCUUGAUCUUGCUAUUGCGAAACGGGUCAGAUCUUGAUCGAAGCAGCCCUAACCAUUAGUUAAGAUGCUUGAAGGGUCGCAAGACUGAGGAGGUAUUGAGGUAGCCUUUUAUUAUUUUUUGAGCAAACCUUCGGUCUAC
This 255-nucleotide non-coding RNA is filed under the name Candidatus Pacearchaeota archaeon. The record is from RNAcentral. Lineage: Archaea; Nanobdellati.